RNAcentral lists this ribosomal RNA (433 nucleotides) under uncultured bacterium. RNAcentral's name for it is "partial 16S ribosomal RNA". It matches the Rfam family "Bacterial small subunit ribosomal RNA", at positions 29 to 507 of the family's 1533-position model. The record is from RNAcentral.
AACGAACGCUGGCGGCAGGCUUAACACAUGCAAGUCGAACGGAUCCUUCGGGAUUAGUGGCCGACGGGUGAGUAACGCGUGGGAACGUACCCUUUGCUACGGAAUAACUCAGGGAAACUUGAGCUAAUACCGUAUGUGCCCUACGGGGGAAAGAUUUAUCGGCAAAGGAUCGGCCCGCGUUGGAUUAGCUAGUUGGUGGGGUAAUGGCCUACCAAGGCGACGAUCCAUAGCUGGUCUGAGAGGAUGAUCAGCCACACUGGGACUGAGACACGGCCCAGACCCCUGGGGGAGGCGGGAGGGGGGAAUAUGGGAAAAUGGCCGAAGUCCGGAUCCACCCAGGCCGGGUGAGUGAUGAGGUUGUUGGGAUUGAAAACCUCUUUCCCGGGUAAAGAUAAGGACGGUAGCGGGAGAAGAAGCCCCGGCUAACUUCGUG